This 7238-nucleotide long non-coding RNA is filed under the name Sus scrofa (pig). RNAcentral's name for it is "lncRNA (ENSSSCG00050049564.1)". Lineage: Eukaryota; Metazoa; Chordata; Mammalia; Artiodactyla; Suidae. The record is from RNAcentral.
UUUUUUUUUUUUUUUUUUUUUUGUCUUUUGUCUUUUGUCUUUUUAGGGCCACACCUGCGGCAUAUGGAGGUUCCCAGGCUAGGGGAUCUAAUCGGAGCUGCAGCUGCCGGCCUCCACCACAGUCACAGCAACGCCAGAUCUGAGCCAUGUCUGCGACCUACAGCACAGCUCACGGCAACACCAGAUCCUUAACCCACUGAGCAAGGCCAGGGAUCGAACCCCGCAACCUCACGGUUCCUGGUCGGAUUCGUGUCUGCUGCGCCAGGACAGGAACUCCCCUAACCAUAUUUCCAAUGCAACCUGGGGAACUUUAAUUAUGGUUCUCACACAGCCAACCAUUUCCCUGCCGUUUGCUAGUGUCUCCGAGUCGUCGGCCGCAGUUACAACCGUAAUCAAUAUUCAUGUGAAAGAGUCUGAAAUAGCCAGCUGAGCAGUUAAAAAUCUUUGUAGUAUAAUCCAAGCUCCCCUUAGAAUACCUACUAUUCAAAUACACUUUCGGAAUCAUAUACGAAUUUAGGUGAAUCUAAACAAAGUGGAUUUCCACUUUUCUUGAGUGUGGCCUCCUCCAGCCUGUCUUAGUCGGUGACGCAAAUGCUCGUGAAAAGACCACCCUAAGCAACUGGACAUUUAUGCUCUCAUCCCGCAAAACUGAUGAAGUCGUUACUAUGCCCAGACACGGCCCGAGCUGCCUGGUCUGCGUUAGCCUAAAAACAAAAUUCCAACCUUUGUGGAGUUUCUAAUGUAUUUAGCAAGUAGCGGAAAAUAACAAGGAUACGUUUAAAUAGAUUAAAUAGCAUGUCACACGGAAACAGGUGCCAUGGGAAAGAGGACACACACAUAUCCAGAUGCUGUUGCGAUGAUGAAGAGCACAGAGGCGGAGGUUGGGAGGAGACGGAAUUCCAGCAGAGACGUCGCGGGGUACCUAGGAGGAGAGCACCCCAAACCGAGAACACAGCUGGCCCUAGAGGGGGAGGGGCCUGCCCCGUGGGAGGAAUAACGAGGAGGCCGGGGGCGGGCUUGAGGGAGGAGAGGAGAGGAGAGGCGACGACCUCAAAGCCCUUUGGCUUUACCUCUGAGCAAAAUGAACCAAUUUACAAAUGUCUCUUCUUCCCGGGAAGAAGCCCCCUACACUUAGGGGGGGCGCUGAAAGCCUACUCUCAUAUGUGAAUAAGGGAGGCAUGCAUAUUUAACGGUAAAAAAAAAAAUCAAAUAAAAAUGCACCAUUUUCCUUAGGAACACUUUCGCAGGUAGAAUGCAUUUCAACUGACUGGCCGGAGAAACAAAGGGACACCGGCUGGAGGAAGAGGUGGCGGUUCUUCACAGGGAAGGGGCAGGACGUCAAAGCUGUGGACGGCGCUAUUUGACUCAACGAGGCUCAGUCCAUUUCCAUGGGGGCCUGUGCAAAACAGGAUAGAGUCUCAUCGCCUUAAGCUGGUGCCCUUUCCACACCACCAGGAGGCUAACAGAAAGGAGAACGAAAGUUACUGCUUCUUAACCUGUGGUUUCUGGACCACGAGCACAGCCUCACCUGGGGGCACCUGUGAAAAACGCCCAUCCCUGGGGACGCUUCCCAGGCUUUCUGGAUAAUUCGUAUGUAUCUAAAGUUUGAGGACACUGAAUACAAAGACAACUUCUUUUUUUUUUAAGCCACGCCCACAGCAUGCUGACGUUCCUGAGCCGAGGAUCAAACCCACACCAUGGCAGUGACCCAAGCCCACAACAGUGACAAAGCCAGAUCCCUAACCUGAUAGGCCACCAGGGAACUCCCCAAAUGAUGAUUUCUUAAGGGUCUCUCUGACUCUGGACUUCUCUGGACCGAGCGUCUCAUGCUGGGUCCCUGGAUGUUUAAUCCUGGCGUGUUUGGUCUGUGGUUUCCAGGGCCACAGAUCUUUGCAUGAGAUGAAGAGGAAAGAGUUGAGAACAUCUUCGGAUAUGUCAGCAAGGAAGGAAGAUGGCUGCGAUCGCCGUGUAAAUCAUGGGUCGUUUCUGUAACUGCAGAAUCAUUAAAAACGUGUAGAGUCAUUGGACGGGGGUCGCCUUGCAGUGAUGUUUCCACCUGAGUGUAUAUUAAUUCCUCUGAGAGAGCAGUUGUGGAUUCUGAUGAUUCGAGCCACAGAGAAGUAAUGAUGGCUAAAUACCUGAGUUUUAUGGCUUUGUUAGCUAUGUUAACAGCCAAUGACAACACAAUCUAAAGAGAUUUGCUAUUUGGCUUUAGAAGAAGUAUCAAGCUAAAAGUAUAAUUAAAACGUUUAUUAACCAGCCAAGUUGAAAAGGCUAGGAGUUACAGUAUCUGAAGCGCAGCAAUGACGUGCUUCCACUCUGUCCUAUGGCCACUUUGUCUCGUGGAAUAUCCUCCCUGCUCAACCACCCCCAGCUCAACACGAACUGAAGAACUGGGCUCACGCCUUACCUUUAGUUUCUAGUUUGAGCUCCAGAAAGACUUGGAAAAAAAAUUCUUACUUGCAAAGCCAGCAAUUACUGAAAUUUUCUAAUUACCCUGUCUGAGAGCUUUCUUCAUACUGGGGUGAUGCAGAGGGUCUCUCCAUGUUUUUAAAGGUCAAAUUACCUUGCUUCAGGAGCUUCUGGUGGUGGGCCAAAUGAGAUGAGCUUAAUUUAAUCUGUCUCUGCUGCUUUUCUUUCAAUCCAAAGGGGCAUCCAUCAUGGGCUUCUCAUUCUGACUGAUAUUGAUCAGGUAAUUGCCCUCAGCUUGUCAAACUAUCAUGAUUUUUGUAAGAAUGAGUCUUUUCUAGAAGAAAGUAGGCCUGAGAGAGAGAGAAAGAGAUGCAAAGAUUUCAAUUAGAACUUUGCCCAAAAGCCAGUAGAAGGCAAGAUGGACAGAAGAGAGACGAGGUAGAGAAGGAAGAGGGAAGGCGAGUGAGUAAGGGUGCUACGUAGACAGCGCUGUGUCCCCCCCCCCUUUUAGUUCUAGGGAACUCUGUACAGCGCUGUGUCCCCCCCCCCUUUUAGUUCUAGGGAACUCUGUGUGCUGCCCUUCUACCCUGCCCACCCGUGAAUCACGAUGAUGCAUUUGGGGCAGGUCCGGAAAAAGUUGAGGGCCAGCCCCUCACACAACUCAGCGAAGGCCAGUCUUAACACAGCCAACCUUGAGCUCCCUCUAGCAAGGGGUGAAAGCAAACCACCAGCCUUCCUUAACCUUCUGCCUCAGGAUCAAGGCGAAGACUACUUUGAGGCUCAGGCCAAUUAUCCUCUUUGCCUCUGCCGGUCAGAUGUUAAUAACCAUUGGCCAGCUCUUCCAUUUAUCCCAGAUUAUUAGGGUGAAGAUGGAGCCCGAAAGGAAAGGGAAAACAGAAAACCUCCUGCCAGGAGCGGAGCUCCCCCAGGAAAGCGCAGGGCACGGACGCGGGGGACGUGGCCUGAAGGCGACUGGCCCGCAAACCGGGACCAUCCUUCGAGACGCAACGAGCCCUGUGCAAGCCCCUGCACGGCCGUCCGGGAAACCGAGCGAGCUUGCGGGAGCUCCUGCGAAGAGUCUAGAAAGGCCCAGGGAGCCUCGUCCAGGGCGUCACGACCGCUAACCACCUGUCCAGGGAGUGCCGGGGUCCCCGAGCCGCGGAGCCGGCCUGCCGCCAGGGCGUCGUGUCCAGGUCGUGGGGCCCCGCGGGCGGGCGGGUAGCCUGGCCCCCCUCGCUGCGGGUGCGGGAGAUGGAGCACGCAGCCUGGUCACCUUCCGGGAAUUCUGGAAAUAAUCCCUUAAAAGGCCAGCCUUAAAGCGGCUGGCUCUUUUUCAGACCUGGUGGACCUGAGACCCCCUUCACCUGGAGGCCUUCACCCCUCCCAUAAUAACGCUGGUAAAAAAUGCACCCAGGACCCACACUAAACCUCAGAGGGGGACAGUCUUUUCUCAAAAGCGUUUGCGAAUUUGCUCUUAAAAGAAUUUUUUAACUUGAUUCACACGGGUUCCGAGCUCUGGGCCAUCAUCAGGCACAGGUGAAAAUGUCACCAGGUGACAACAUCGGAACCUACGGCUAGGUUUCAAAUGCAGUGCAGUUUUAGUGAAUAUUAACUUUGACGAGUAAUCAAGUUGGUAAAAUAUCCCAUCAUGUCGGUGUUUAAUACAACAUCUAUCAAAAAUCCAUCCCGCGAUUUUCUUGGUGGUAUUUCGAAGCCAAUUUUUUUGAGCAAAACUUCACAUCUCAGAUGAAUAUAUGCCCUGACCUGGGUUCUUUCAACUGUCGUAACAUGAACACAAUGAAAAAUGUUGUUGGUUGGAUCUUUAUACGAGUUUUGCUGUAGAAAAAAAUAUACAUAUUUUUUUUGUCCUUGCCCUGGAGCGCGUGGAAGUUCCUGGGACAGGGAUCAACCCGAGGCACAGCAGUGACAAUGCAGGAUCCUUAACUCACUGAGCUACCAGGAAAUUCCUGCCCUAGAAAUUUUGAAAGUCUGUCCCUUGCAAAGUGAACCUUAUAUCAUCGUUCACCUCCUGCUGGGGACCAGAGCUGCCUGGACACCAUCCACGGUCUGGAUGUUAUGUGACCCUGGGAAAGUAUAAACGGAGGACAGGGACGAGGCUCGGCUCCACCUGAAAGGACUUAUCUGAUCCCCAGAGAAAGAUCGUAAUAAGUUGAAGUUACUGAGGAAGAAAAAGAAGACGCAGGGAAAAUAACUAAAGGAAAUGGAAAAUGGGUUUUUUUUUAGUUUGUUUUUUGUCAUUUCUGGGUUGCAAGGUCUCCCUUUCUCUUUUAAUGUCUUUCUCACACAAUCUCCUUUUUCUCAUCUAGGUCUCAAAAGAAUUGCCAGAGGUAUGUCGGGCUACCGCGGUAAACACCCAGAGAUGCCGCAGAUCAAAAAUCGCUUCCCGCGCUCUUCCUCGCUUCCAAUUGGCCCUCCCGCAGGAAACCUCCGUCCCUGCAGCGGACCUGAGGGCCCAGCCGUCCGCGGGGGCGCUGAGCAGGUGCGCGGGGGCGCGCGCAGCGUCUCUGUUGGGAUCCACCCUCUCUGCGUGGCAGACCUGGCUGUGUGCACCUUGCGUCCAGCUCCCCGCCCGACCUGCCCCGCACGCUCCCUCCGUCCCUGGCUCCUGGACCCAGCUUCUGGUUAUGAAAGCAAAGGUUCCUCUACCUUGUAGUCGUGCUGUCUUAGCUGCUGAACACCUUCUGUGAAUCCAGACAAAACUACCACUGAGAGUGAAUGCUUCGCAUUUUGUCCACAUGUCUUGCACUUAUGACAUCAGAAUUUUCUUCUCAUGUUCAAUGGUAGUGUGUGUGUGUGUGUGUGUGUGUGUGUGUGUGUGUGGAGAGAGCGUGUGUAUGUUACAUUGUCCAACCAAUUUCACGUAUCCAUCCCUUAACAUUUUCAGAGUUAACCACGUUUGUGAAAAGGACAAAUGCCCCACUGAGCUCUUUUUCUUUCCUAAAGCGUGUGGGGAAUGUGCCGUUGGGCUCUUCCCUGCGUAAAUAAUGCGUAAAAUAAUCAAAGCACCAUCACGACCUGACAGCUCAGGCCUUGGAUGAAUAGGGCUUUAUGGGGGAUUAUCAUAUGACAUUUCCAAACUAAAUUAUAUUUAUGAGUCAUACAGGGUACUGUGGCCUCAUCGGCCCUCGGUGUGGAAUCUGCACAUUUUGCAAGGAGGGGACGAAGGGAAAGGACCUGGACCUGGCUGUCCUUUUUGAACAGGAAAUUUUUUAAAAAAGGAAGGAAGGAAGGAAGGAAGCCAUCAUUUCCCAUCCCCACUGCUCAGGGAGACUCUGAAACUUGGAAGGGAAUCUUCGGUCCUGUAGUGUCUCUUACACUGUUACUCCAUAGAUUUAAAACCAAUGUGCUCAAAAUCUUCAGAGAUGAGCUAAUCUCACGGUCCCUCCCCUCAGAGGAGGGACUGAGCAGACACACAACGCACAGCUCCCAACCCCUUGAACACUUUUCCUCGAACCUCCCAGCUUCCCCUAGGCAACCACACACGCAGACACGACUUCCUCCAAACAUCAAGUGACAACACAGAAGCAAAGCGAAGCAAAGGUUUUCUACACAUGAAAGUCUAGUUUCCAAAAGGAGUUAUUUAUACGCUUUGUCAGUCAUUUUGGAACACACUGCACCAUUCAAGUGAGAAAAUAUUUUUCUUGGUUAAACUCAAAAUGUUUUCUCCCUUCAAAUAUGAUGUUACUCUAUGCCUUCUUGGGAACUUGAACAGAGAAGGGCGAAUACUGACCCCCCACCCAAUGUUUUAAGGUCAGAGCCCUGGGGACAGGCCGCCACGGGUCCUAGCAUGCCCCUCUUGUAUUUCCUUCCAGCGGGGGCAGUACGUAAUGCCGCGUCUGCCUGGAUCCUGGGACAGGCAUUAGGAAAUUGAUGUCGCCUCUAGGACUGGACAGAUAGGGGCAAGGGGUGUGCACUGAAUUUUGUGUCGCAUCGCAUUUUCAAUGUUCUUGCAAGGCUGCAUUUUAGUCGGAGGCGCCUAUGAACCCUUCUUUGUAAACAGAACGGUAUCCAAUCAACUCAUCAUUGGAUAGCAGUGAUGCUCCAACAAUAAGAUCGCUGAAUAAUACACAGUCAUAAAAUCCAGACACGACUGCUGCUUUCUGAAAAGGAAACCUGUAACAACCCCUUAUAAACCCAGGAGUCAGAAGAAAAAGCAUCAUACAGAUACGGAACUAUUGCCCCCUGAUGCAGAAGGAAAUGGUAUCCUCUGGCCAAACCCACGCUCCAUAAAAACACAGUUCAUCCGAUCCCACAGCUGACCCCCGAGGAACUGCCUCUAACAUUAAAGCAAGAUAAUUUGACCUAAAAUAAAAGAAACUAUAGGGAAAUAGUCUUUAUCAGCCUCCAUAGGAAGAAAUGUCUAAAAUGGAGUAAUUAGAGUCUUUUAGGAAAGUAUUUCAAAAAGCCCUUUCAGUUAUCACACUGAAAUUCUUGGCAAACGGCUGGGAUAUUUCGCUAGUCCCAUUGGGGUGUUGGGGGGGGGGGUUACAGUUUCAAGGAGAGAGAAGGUCACGAGGCAAAAUCUGACAAGAGCGCUGUGACUUCUCGCCUUGAGGUCUCACAGAUACCAGCACUGGCUUUUCCAAGGUGUCCGAAUUCUCUUCUUACCCUGAUUCAGAAGUGGUACCUCUUCACUGCAAAUGGCAAGGUCACAAAACCAGAGAUCCACCGUAUAAACACACACACUUACGCGACGCAAAAAUAACACAGGAACCGCAACAACUUGAAGAAGUAAAAAAAACCCCAAAACACCCAGUCACACUUUCUUUUCCAUUUCAUAUACUGCUUCUAAAUAUGCAAACCAG